UGAUUCCUAAUAUUUUCACAAUUCCUGGGGCUACUCCCAGUGUUAUGCCCUUUCCUAGUGCUAGUUCCAUCUCUAAGGUCUGGGGAUCGCCGCCUCAGGUUCCGGUGCUGAUCGAUUUUCGGCCUGCCACUAAUAUCCAGAUCCAUGACCAGACUCCACUAUGACCUGCAAACAUAUCCUGUGCAUCUGCUCCUGAAGAGUAGCGCUACAGCUACGAAACGCGUCGAGCUAAAUAGAUGCUUUUCCCUGCCAAUUUUUCAUCUUCAUCACCAUUACCAUGGUUUACUGGAACCUGCCAAUCUACAAUGCAUAAUGGAAAUAUGUUGCAAACUAGUCUGAUGUGGUUUUUAUGUUAUGAUUGUGGCUCUAGGCCAGCAGGCCAUCUUUGUGUCAUCAUGCUAUUCUGUUCUUUAUUAUGUACCAUGUUAUGGAAUAAAUGGUUUUAUUACCUUA
This is a long non-coding RNA of Rana temporaria (common frog), 453 nucleotides long. RefSeq lists it as uncharacterized. The record is from RefSeq and is a predicted model, not a curated record. Lineage: Eukaryota; Metazoa; Chordata; Amphibia; Anura; Ranidae. The transcript has 2 exons.